AGAACCUUGCUCACGAACAUGAUCACUUGGAGGAGAAUCAUAUUCAGUGUUGAGUUUUCCGAAGGAAGGAAGAUCAUGUAAUUUUGAUGGCUGGUGGUCUUCAUGAAGUUGAUGUGAGUCACGAUCAACACCCGUAGGAUCAAAAGAAUGUUGAUGAUCAAAAUGUGGCUUUUCUGUAGUAGCUGAUUGAUCAAGAGUAUCUGUAUGAAAUGGAUUCUCAUUACUAUCCUCAGGGAACUUCUCACUAUUUUUCUUGGUGAGCUCACUAAUCCUGGCCUGUGCAAGAGUAGCUGCUGAGCGGGCUGCUGCUGCUGCACGUUCAGCAGUUUCUGCAGCAGCUUGAGCAGCAGCUAAAACAUCCUG
Molecule: unclassified non-coding RNA, 363 nt
Filed under: Hevea brasiliensis (rubber tree)
Lineage: Eukaryota; Viridiplantae; Streptophyta; Magnoliopsida; Malpighiales; Euphorbiaceae
Source: RNAcentral